RNAcentral lists this ribosomal RNA (433 nucleotides) under uncultured bacterium. RNAcentral's name for it is "bacterial SSU rRNA". It matches the Rfam family "Bacterial small subunit ribosomal RNA", at positions 958 to 1392 of the family's 1533-position model. The record is from RNAcentral.
AACGCGAAGAACCUUACCUACCCUUGACAUACAGAGAACUUUCUAGAGAUAGAUUGGUGCCUUCGGGAACUCUGAUACAGGUGCUGCAUGGCUGUCGUCAGCUCGUGUCGUGAGAUGUUGGGUUAAGUCCCGUAACGAGCGCAACCCUUAUCCUUAGUUGCUACCAUUUAGUUGGGCACUCUAAGGAGACUGCCGGUGAUAAACCGGAGGAAGGUGGGGACGAGGUCAAGUCAUCAUGGCCCUUAUGGGUAGGGCUACACACGUGCUACAAUGGCCGGUACAGAGGGCCGCAAACUCGCGAGAGUAAGCUAAUCCCUUAAAGCCGGUCCUAGUCCGGAUUGCAGUCUGCAACUCGACUGCAUGAAGCUGGAAUCGCUAGUAAUCGCGGAUCAGAAUGCCGCGGUGAAUUCGUUCCCGGGUCUUGUACACACCG